Molecule: ribosomal RNA, 348 nt
Filed under: Triticum aestivum (bread wheat)
Lineage: Eukaryota; Viridiplantae; Streptophyta; Magnoliopsida; Poales; Poaceae
Description: partial small subunit ribosomal RNA
Source: RNAcentral
AUGUCAUGUGAACUGGUGCCUGCGAAAGAGGAACCACAUGAUAGCAAUGGGGAUACAGUAAACAAAGAUGGGUGCCGCGACCAACUGUUAUCAUCAUGUGAACUACAAAGUGACAAAAAGAGGAGACUGAGAUCUAUUGUACUAUCAAAUGACUCGAGAGGAAGAAUGAAAUGCGGCAAGUACUACAGAAAGAAAGGGAAAAGAUGUCUGCAAGAACAGGAAAUCUGCUGGAGCAAAAGUAAAAAAAAAUACAAGGCUGGAAGACCAAGAGUACGAAGGUCAGAUGUUGUUGUUGUUGUUGUUGUUGUUUUGCAAAAAGAGAAGGUCAGAUGUUCACUGCGAAAAUGA